Molecule: RNA transcript, 5473 nt
Organism: Impatiens glandulifera
Lineage: Eukaryota; Viridiplantae; Streptophyta; Magnoliopsida; Ericales; Balsaminaceae
Gene name: serine/threonine-protein kinase prpf4B-like
Exons: 14
Source: RefSeq, a predicted model, not a curated record
UUAGGUAUAAAAUUGCUCAUCAUAUUCCUCCUAAAUACUCGUGCCCCCCGGAUUGUUAUUCUCGCGCACUCGUAAGUUCUCGUUUCCCCCUUCCCAUCAAACCAGGAAAACCUAACCCUAGAUUUCGUGAACCUGCUCUCUAACCAUCAUCAUGGCUGGCGAUUCUCAAGACAAUCUCCGUCGCAAGCACCGCCGGCUUUCCGAAGAUGACGACGCUGACGAUUCCACCAAGCUCCGCAAGCACCGUCAUCAUCACCAUCGUCACCGUGACCACCUUCGCAGCAGCCGUAAGCGUGAAGGUGAAGAACAGCCAGAGUUGCAAGUAGAAGAGGAGGUUUUGCUUACUCUUCCGCCGCCGUCAACUGGUGAUGUCGAUUAUGAUAUGGAGGAAGGAGAGAUUGUUGAUGAUGUCGGUCCUUUGAAGAUGCGAUCGGAUUCUGAUGUUGAAUCCAAGGCUGCUCGAUUGCUUGCUGAAUCCGAUAAAUUGACAAUCACGGGAGUUAAUGAAGCUAAGAUGAAGCUUGAAGAAAACACGGUGAAUGGUGGCCGUGGUUUGGAGGUAUCUGGAGAAGCCAAGAGUGACACCGGGUUGCUCGUUUGUUCCAAUCUAGAUGUCAAAGUGAAAGCAGCUGAUGGUAGCAGUAUUCAAAAUAAGGUUCCUAAUUAUAUGAAUGGUGCCACUAUGUUAGGAUCAGUUAAAGAGAAUUAUGAUAAAGUUGUAGAAUCACAGUCUCCUGUCAAAACUAGCAACAGGAGAACGAUAUACCAUGUUAGCGAGGAUGGUUGUAGGAGUCAGAGCAAAUCAAUGUCAUCUGGAGAUGACAGAAAUGUGCAGAAAAGCUUUGUGUCCUCUCCCCAUGACGAGAGGAACAAAGAAACGGGUUAUAGUAGGGAUAGACCCAAGUCUCAUGAUAGAUGCAGGGAACGAUCUCGUUCACAUGAAAAUGUACUGGAUACUUCCAUGCCAAUACAUGCCCAAGAUAGCAAGAAAUUUGUUAGUGAUUCAGAGGAUGACGAUAACAUGAUUGAAAGAAACAGGGACUCCCAACAUGAUAAAAAAGAUAUAUCCAAGUAUAAAGAAAGGGAGAGGAGUUCUAGUUACAAUUUGUAUACUCGACACCCAGAUAGGCAUCGUAGCCAGGACAGGGAGGCGAGUUGGGAUGGACGGCACAAUGAUAGGGAAGGGAGAGACAUGGACAGGGAUAAAAAAACUGAAAGACAUAGGGAGAAGGACAAAGAGGAUGGAGAAAGGCAAAGGGAGAGGGAUAAGAAGAGAGAUCGAAGACAAGAACGGGAUAGAGAGAUGGAUAAUGAAAAGUUGGCCAGAGAUAGAGAGAUGGAUAAUGAAAAGUUGGCCAGAGAUAGAGAGAGGAUGAGGGAAAAUGAUAGGGAAGGAGAGAUGGAUAGGCAAAGGGAGAGGGAGAAAGGAAGGGAGAGAGAAAAGGAAAGAGACAGGGACAGAGAAGAAUGGGGGAGAAAGCGGCAAAAGGAGAGGGAGUGGGAGAGGGAAAGAGAGGAUAGGGAGCGAAGAAGGGAGAGGGAAGAUAGGAGCCGAAAGAAUGAAAGGGAGUGGGAGAAUGGAAGGGAUAAACCUGGAGGUAGUGGAAGGGAUAGAGAAUCUGAUAGGAGCAUCCGGCAUCAUAAGAACGAAAAGGAUAUUGAUGAUAGCUAUGAUCGAUAUAGGAAUUAUGACUCCAAGAGUAGGCGGUUUGAUGAAUCACAGCAUAGUAAUAGGGUUAGUAAAAAUGAUAGUGAAAAAGUUGGUCAUGUAAAAUCUGAUCACCUGAAAGAUGAGAAAGAGAAAUCUAAGAGAGAGGUAGCUGAGAUAGAGGACUAUGAAGAAAAAGUUGCCUUACAACUUGCAGAUCAGGAAGAGGAUGAUCUUGAUAGAAUUAAAGAGGAGAGCAGAAGGCGAAUGCAAGCCAUCCUUGAAAAAUAUAAAGCUAAACCAUCACAUCAAGUCAACAAGCCUCAGCCUAAGGACUCUGAAAAGGAAAACACUGCGUGCUUCUUUGUUGACGCUUCUGCUGAUCGAACUGUUCUGGAAACUUCAGAUGACAAGAUUGACGUAAUUGAUAACAAUGUGGAUGAGCCUCCAUUAGCUGUUGUCAAAUCUCCUCUCCAGAAUGAGGGUUUUAUUAUUCAAAGUACUUCUGGUGCUGGGGGUCUGGGAGAGGGUUCUCCAAAGAGUGAGAGAUCACAGGGAAGCUUUUGUGAUGAUAUUUUUGGGGAUUCACCAGCCGGAGUCCGUAAAACAGCUAAGUUAGAUGGUGUAGCUGUUGAAAGGAGUGGUCUUCAUGACAAUUGGGACGAUGCAGAUGGAUAUUAUAGUUACCGAGUUGGGGAGCUACUAGAUGGUCGGUAUGAAGUUAUAUCUGCUCAUGGGAGAGGAGUCUUCUCAACAGUAGUUCGUGCAAGGGAUCUUAGGGCUGGACCUGGUGAUCCUGAAGAAGUAGCAAUAAAAAUUUUACGCAAUAGAGAGGCAAUGCUUAAGGCUGGUAAAGAGGAGCUUAUCAUACUAAACAAAUUAGUCGGUGCUGACCCUGAGAAUAGGAGACAUUGUGUCCGUUAUCUUUUGUCUUUUAAAUAUCGGGACCAUCUUUGUUUAGUUUUUGAAUCUCUUCAUAUGAAUCUGCGUGAAGUUCUUAAGAAGUUUGGUCGCAACAUUGGACUUAAACUCACCGCGGUUAGAACAUAUGCUAAGCAACUAUUUAUUGCACUGAAGCAUCUCAAGAACUGCGGUGUUCUACACUGCGACAUAAAACCAGAUAACAUGCUGGUAAAUGAAGCAAAAAAUGUUCUGAAGCUUUGUGAUUUUGGUAAUGCAAUGUUUGCUGGCAAAAAUGAGAUUACACCUUACCUUGUCAGCCGCUUUUAUCGGUCCCCUGAAAUAAUUUUGGGCUUGCCAUAUGAUCAUCCUAUGGAUAUAUGGUCUGUCGGGUGCUGUUUAUUUGAGCUCUACAGUGGCAAGGUACUUUUCCCUGGGGCUACAAACAAUGACAUGCUUCGCCUUCAUAUGGAACUAAAAGGACCAUUCCCAAAGAAGAUGCUUAAGAAGGGAGGUUUCAUUGAGCAACAUUUUGACCAGGACUUGUGCUUUCUUGCCACUGAGGAGGAUCCUGUUACUAAGAAGACAAUGAGGAGGUUGCUCCCCAGUAUGAAGCCGAAAGAUAUAGGCACAAUAAUUACUGGCUCGCCUGGUGAGGAUCCGAAGAUUCUUGCCAAUUUCAAAGAUCUUCUGGAAAGGAUCUUCGUGUUGGAUCCAGAAAAAAGAUUGACAGUAUCACAGGCCUUGAGCCACCCAUUUAUCACGGGCAAGUGAACAAUGAUGCUGAUUUUCUGAGUCCAGAUGCUGUUGCCCUAUUUGUAUAUUAUGGCUAAAUUUAUAUUCAGAUUGCUAAUAAUUGGGCAUUUAUCUGUCUUCAUCUUCUUUGUGAUGGCUUGGGGAGCUUCAAGCAAUAUUUCUGCCAUGGGGAAAAGUGGAAAUAGAUGCAUUUGGUCUGACUACCUCUACCAUGGCGGUCGUUUCAGUGGAAUGUUUACUGUUCUAUUGAGAUCUACCAGUUCAAUGAGGCAACCGUGCAGUGCUUAGUUGCAUUAAAGGCACUCUGAAGAAGGUACCAUUGGUUUGUUUGUUAGGAGCUUAUCAAGAUACCAUUCAAAAUGCAUCGCAUAAUCACUUUAUUCAUAUUUUACUUGUCUUCCCAUUCCAAUCUUUAUAUGAAUACAAUGAUGCUUUAUGUUAUAUAUGCAAUUAUUACCUUGUAGAUGAAACUUUUCCACUGAUUUACUCUUGUUGAGCAUUCAGUAUUUCAUUUCUAGGACAUGAUUUUUGUAUGUUAGCUUGUUUAUUUUCCGAAUUUGCAAUAUUUUCAUACGCAUACCCUAAUGAGAUUGCUUACAUUGCUCCAUGCAUUGUUCCUGGGAGGAGUUUGCAUGGGAAGCUGCAGUUGAAGUUGAAGUACAUUCUGGUACGUCUUUAACUCAUUCUUCAGCGAUGUUGGUAUGUAUAUCCACCCUAAUCAACUUGAAGUGUACCCCUUGUAUGAUGCUACAGUAGAGCAUUCUUGAAAUAAUUUUAUGCUUGUUGGGUUUUCUUUAUGUAUAUGCUUAUGUAUUCUUGAAGUUUAUUUGUUAGUUUAUGACAGUAAUAAGGGUGUACCUAGAACUUGGUUUUGCUUAAUUUGACUUGCUGUUGUAAGAUUGGGAUUUAGGUGGAUGUAUUUUCUGGGCAUAUACUAUUCAGUUAGUUGGUAUAUGAGAAAGUAUGCUCUCUUGGAAGAGAAAAAAAAAUUACUGCAGAGCAUAGACUGAUGUGAAAUGGAUCAACAUCAUUAAGAGCUAAACAUAAUUUAGCGAACCCUAGGAAGAAGUAUCAAUGUAGUGAUAGUUAGAUAUUCAUUACGAUCAUCUUUGUUUUAGUGAAAUUCUCCUUUUUUUUUCCAUUGCUUUUGUUACCUGCUUUUAUUAAGAUAGUUCUACGCUUUAUGAGCUUAUAUGAACUUUACCAAUGUGCUAAUUGUUGGAUCUUUUAGUGUCGAACAAAUGUUUAAUAGUUGUCUAUUUCUUCUUCUGGUUUGUGAUAAAUUCAGUUAUCCUGGCCAAAAAAAGGGGUCCUAACUAGAUAUGUUAGUGUGAAUAACUGAUCCUUGAAGAGUGUCAUGUUCAGUUUUGUGGAUAACGGCUAGACCUUUAUAGUUAAAUUAAAUGUUUAUGAUCUAAUACCUGAUGUUCAUGUUUCUCAUUUCAUUACAUUAUUUUCCAUAGACAAUUAACUAUACCUUAUACUUUGCAAAAUUUCUAUUAGAAAGCGUGGAAAGAUCAUGCAUACCUCUUUUUUAAAAAUAUUUUAUACUGAUGUAAGAUACUAAGGACUGCCUAAGAGGAAUAAAAGAAGGCAAAACACAAUAAUGACCAACAUAAAGUAUGUUCAAAAGCUGAUGAAUUCUAUAUAAAAAAUAUAUAUAACAGCCACCUGCAACCAACUCCAAACAGAACAAAAACCAAGAAGUGUGUUGUCUAUCUCAUUUAAGUCCUCAUAAAGAGGACUGCUAGCUGUUUCCUGUAAAAGCUUUGAGAAAUUACCCAUGCAUACAUUAAGGUAGGGAGGAAAGUAUACAUUGGGAGCUCAUGAGCAUUGUAAAGUAUGUUGCAAUCUGUUUCAUUAUCAUAAAAUACAAGGUGGGGCAUAAACAUUUAAGAGUGGAGUUGCAACUAUGGGAGCUUUUUCCUUUACAAUGGGAGGUUUUUGCAUUAAGGUAGGGAGGAAAGUUCCAGCUGGAGGUGAAAAAGUAUGCAACAGGGACCAAUUUAUUUUAAAUUUUCUUGAGUUGUUAAAGUUUGUAUCAAUAAAGUUGUUGAGAUGAUGACUUCUAAUACAUCAAACAAUGUCCACACCAAGUAUUGGACACAUGACCUCGACGUUGUUCGGUUAAACAACUCAAUCAUCAAGCCAAGUCACCUUGAGUUUGUA